AUUGAACGCUGGCGGCAGGCCUAACACAUGCAAGUCGAACGGCAGCACAGAAGAGCUUGCUCUUUGGGUGGCGAGUGGCGGACGGGUGAGUAAUGUCUGGGAAACUGCCCGAUGGAGGGGGAUAACUACUGGAAACGGUAGCUAAUACCGCAUAACGUCGCGAGACCAAAGUGGGGGACCUUCGGGCCUCACACCAUCGGAUGUGCCCAGAUGGGAUUAGCUAGUAGGUGGGGUAAUGGCUCACCUAGGCGACGAUCCCUAGCUGGUCUGAGGGGAUGGCCAGCCAAGAUGGAACCGAGUCACGGUCCAGACGCCUACGGGAGGCAGCAGUGGGGAAUAUUGCGCAGUGGGCGCAAGCGUGAUGCAGCCAUGCCGCGUGUAUGAAGAAGGCCUUCGGGUUGUAAAGUACUUUCAGCGGGGAGGAAGGCGGUGAGGUUAAUAACCUUGCCGAUUGACGUUACCCGCAGAAGAAGCACCGGCUAACUCCGUGCCAGCAGCCGCGGUAA
Molecule: ribosomal RNA, 506 nt
Filed under: uncultured bacterium
Lineage: Bacteria
Description: partial 16S ribosomal RNA
Rfam family: Bacterial small subunit ribosomal RNA
Source: RNAcentral